RNAcentral lists this unclassified non-coding RNA (344 nucleotides) under soil metagenome. RNAcentral describes it as "partial contains 5.8S ribosomal RNA, internal transcribed spacer 2, and large subunit ribosomal RNA". The stretch from base 1 to 119 matches the Rfam family "5.8S ribosomal RNA", at positions 35 to 154 of the family's 154-position model. The record is from RNAcentral.
GAUGAAGAACGUAGCGAAAUGCGAUACGUAAUGUGAAUUGCAAAUUCAGUGAAUCAUCGAGUCUUUGAACGCACAUUGCGCCCCCUGGUAUUCCGGGGGGCAUGCCUGUCCGAGCGUCAUUGCUGCCCUCAAGCACGGCUUGUGUGUUGGGCCCCGUCCUCCGAUUCCGGGGGACGGGCCCGAAAGGCAGCGGCGGCACCGCGUCCGGUCCUCGAGCGUAUGGGGCUUUGUCACCCGCUCUGUAGGCCCGGCCGGCGCUUGCCGAUCAACCCAAAUUUUUAUCCAGGUUGACCUCGGAUCAGGUAGGGAUACCCGCUGAACUUAAGCAUACAAUAAGCGGAGGA